RNAcentral lists this ribosomal RNA (253 nucleotides) under uncultured bacterium. RNAcentral describes it as "partial 16S ribosomal RNA". It matches the Rfam family "Bacterial small subunit ribosomal RNA", at positions 524 to 776 of the family's 1533-position model. The record is from RNAcentral.
UACGAAGGGGGCUAGCGUUACUCGGAAUCACUGGGCGUAAAGCGCACGUAGGCGGCUUGUUAAGUCAGGGGUGAAAUCCUGGAGCUCAACUCCAGAACUGCCUUUGAUACUGGCGAGCUUGAGUUCGGGAGAGGUGAGUGGAACUGCGAGUGUAGAGGUGAAAUUCGUAGAUAUUCGCAAGAACACCAGUGGCGAAGGCGGCUCACUGGCCCGAUACUGACGCUGAGGUGCGAAAGCGUGGGGAGCAAACAGG